AAGUCGUAACAAGGUUUCCGUAGGUGAACCUGCGGAAGGAUCAUUAUCAAAAGUCAGUCGGGAGCCCUAGUGGCUGCCGUCUACACCCAAGUCUUUUGUGUACUCAUUGUUUCCUCGGCGGCGUAAGUCGCCGAAUGGACAAACUAAAACCUUUUUGUAAUUGCAAUCAGCGUCAUUAAAUAUAAUAAUAUUUACAACUUUCAACAACGGAUCUCUUGGUUCUG
Molecule: unclassified non-coding RNA, 224 nt
Filed under: Edenia gomezpompae
Lineage: Eukaryota; Fungi; Ascomycota; Dothideomycetes; Pleosporales; Pleosporaceae
Also listed under: 2 other names
Description: partial internal transcribed spacer region
Rfam family: Eukaryotic small subunit ribosomal RNA (bases 1-46)
Source: RNAcentral